This is a long non-coding RNA of Rhinichthys klamathensis goyatoka, 215 nucleotides long. RefSeq lists it as uncharacterized. Lineage: Eukaryota; Metazoa; Chordata; Actinopteri; Cypriniformes; Leuciscidae. The record is from RefSeq and is a predicted model, not a curated record. The transcript has 2 exons.
UGACGUGCUUACAAACUCUUCUUAUAGCCCCUUUGACUGCAACAUGAAUGGUUUAACAACCACAGCAGAGAACGGCAGCUCCAGUGACAAUAUUUCACUUUCAACAAAUGGAAAUGACGAAUAUUUCACAUAAAAUGAACAAUCCCAAACUCACAUAGACACAAAUAUAUCGCAUGUCAUCUUUAUGCCACCCAUAUUCCUAUUAUAUUGAAAAA